CCGAACGCACAAAAUAACGACAUGUAAUACAAGUAUCGCGCAUCGGUUAAUAUGCCGCCGUAUAUAUGUGCUACAGCUAUAUGUCUGUGAUGUGUAUACUACUAUUGUAAUAUAGACGUCGCGGAGUAGAUAUACGCGCCCAAGUAUAUUGUGUUCUGUAUACUAUGGGUGAUUCACCCGCAGUUAAUCUGGUCGGUGAUUUUUGGUUUUUGUCUCCUCGCGAACCCCGCCGAUGUACAGUCGUCCGAGAUCGUUCGCCCAUACUCGUCAGCGCGCACUCGGCCACGUUUCGAGGUUUUAUUAUGUGAUCUGCCGGUGCGAGAUGAUGGCGAUGUGAUAGUUCAUAGAACAAAACCAAAAAAGCCCGGGAAAAUCGUUAUGUCGUAGAAAAAAAAAAGAAUUUAUUAUAUCUCGGGAAUAAAUUCUCGUAUUUUUAUGUCGUCGCGUAUCAUCAGCUGAGUAAUACUUGACAUAAUGUUAAAUCUGAUAUACCUUCUUUUUGUUCGGGCACGUAGCGGACGAUAGUAUGCUGCAGGACUGUUCAAAAUGACUCAUCCGAUGUCUUGCACCUGGUCUCCUAGGUCAUUUGAUCUUACACCACAUAUGACCCCACUUCUUCGCCGUUAUCAUCGUCAACCGUAGACUUAGCUAAAAAUUAAUGAAGUCAAGUCGAUUACAACGGAUACGCGUGGAAUAUGAAUUCGAGAUCCGACUAGAUGUCAUUCGUGAUGUUACCCGCAACGGAAGCCAUAUAACUCUACAUUUAUAGGUGCUAUUAGAUCAAUUUGAAAUGUCAUUCCUUCAUAUACUUAAUGUAUCGUGUUAUAUUACUCUAUACCCGAAAACUAAAAAUAAAUAAUAUAGUAUUUGAAAGCA
Rhopalosiphum padi (bird cherry-oat aphid) is the source of this 876-nucleotide long non-coding RNA. RefSeq lists it as uncharacterized. NCBI's taxonomy places the organism in Eukaryota, Metazoa, Arthropoda, Insecta, Hemiptera, Aphididae. The record is from RefSeq and is a predicted model, not a curated record. The transcript is spliced from 2 exons.